UACGAAGGGGGGCUAGCGUUGUUCGGAAUUACUGGGCGUAAAGCGCGCGCAGGCGGCUAUCCAAGUCAGUGGUGAAAGCCCGGAGCUCAACUCCGGAACUGCCAUUGAAACUGUUUAGCUUGAGGACGAGAGAGGUGAGUGGAAUUCCCAGUGUAGAGGUGAAAUGCGUAGAUAUGCGGAGGAACACCGAUGGCGAAGGCAAUCCCCUGGACCUGUACUGACGCUCAUGCACGAAAGCGUGGGGAGCAAACAGG
Molecule: ribosomal RNA, 254 nt
Filed under: uncultured bacterium
Lineage: Bacteria
Description: partial 16S ribosomal RNA
Rfam family: Bacterial small subunit ribosomal RNA
Source: RNAcentral